Molecule: long non-coding RNA, 1671 nt
Organism: Amphiprion ocellaris (clown anemonefish)
Lineage: Eukaryota; Metazoa; Chordata; Actinopteri; Pomacentridae
Source: Ensembl
UUUCUUGUUAGGUAGCAUUAGCAAUUAGCAGUUAGCAGUUGGUCCUUGCAUCCUAGAUGAAGUAUGCUGGUAUCAUCUCUGUCUGUGGUGAGCUUGGCUGAAGUAGUGGUGUGUUUUAGCAAUUAGCGAUUAGCAUUAACAUGUAGCACUGGCAGGUUUGGUGAGCUGACUGGUAUAAUUUCCUUUGUCAGUGGUAAGUUGGCUUUGGACAUGGUGGCGGUCUAGCAGCUAGCAUUAGCACUUACAGGGGUUUGGAGAGUUUAUAAGUAUAGUUUCUUUGUCCUUUUUAGCAGUUAGCACUCAGUAUUCAGCAGAUAACUGGUAGCAUCUGGUCCCUACCUGGAGCAUCUCUUAAACGGGACUGGGUCAGCUGAACGUGGCAGUGCUGGUUGGAUUGUGUAGGAGCAGUGUGAACUUGCACUAGAGGGGUGAAUCUGGGACGCCAGAGUUCAUCUUAGCCUCCUGGAGGUGUUGUGGGACCAAACAGGAGAAACAGCAUUGAAUUGAGGAAUCCCUGCUCUCUGGUGGGUAUAGUGGUGGUCAGGGGUCUCUGGUGGGUAUAGUGAUGGUCAGAGGUCACUGGUGGGUGCAGUGAUGGUCAGGGGUCUCUGGUGGGUAUAGUGAUGGUGACGGAUCACUGGUGGGUAUAGUGAUGGUCAGGGGUCUCUGGUGGGUAUAGUGAUGGUCAGGGGUCACUGGUGGGUGCAGUGAUGGUCAGGGGUCUCUGGUGGGUAUAGUGAUGGUGACGGAUCACUGGUGGGUAUAGUGAUGGUCAGGGGUCUCUGGUGGGUAUAGUGAUGGUCAGGGGUCACUGGUGGGUAUAGAGAUGGCCAGGGGUCUCUGGUGGGUAUAGUGAUGGUCAGGGGUCUCUGGUGGGUAUAAAGACGGUCAGGGGUCUCUGGUGGGUAUAGGGUGGUCAGGGGUCUCUGGUAGGUAUAGUGAUGGUCAGGGGUCUCUGGUGGGUAUAGUGAUGGUCAGGGGUCUCUGGUGGGUAUAGUGAUGGUGACGGAUCACUGGUGGGUAUAGUGAUGGUCAGGGAUCUCUGGUGGGUAUAGUGAUGGUCAGGGGUCACUGGUGGGUAUAGAGAUGGCCAGGAGUCUCUGGUGGGUGUAGUGAUGGUCAGGGGUCUCUGGUGGGUGUAGUUAUGAUCAGGGGUCACUGGUGGGUAUAGUGAUGGUGACGGAUCACUGGUGGGUAUAGUGAUGGUGACGGAUCACUGGUGGGUAUAGUGAUGGUCAGGGAUCUCUGGUGGGUAUAGUGAUGGUCAGGGGUCUCUGGUGGGUGUAGUUAUGAUCAGGGGUCUCUGGUGGGUAUAGAGAUGGUCAGGGGUCUCUGGUGGGUGUAGUUAUGAUCAGGGGUCUCUGGUGGGUGUAGUUAUGAUCAGGGGUCUCUGGUGGGUGUAGUGAUGGUCAGGGUUCCUAGGACCUUCAUUCAGUGGGAUCUUUCUUGUUUUGAGCACAAGUGUCUUGAGUUUAAACUAACCUGAGACACACCUGAGACGUGACUCUAAGCUCUUGUCCACACGUAGCCGGGUAUCUCACAAAACGAAGAUAUUUUUCUACGAUUCGGCCUAUCAUCCACACGAAAACGCAGAUUUACGUCAUCAAAAACGAUUCUUUUUAAAAACUCCAACCAAAGUGAAGAUUUGCGAAUUCUCCGUUUUAUGCGUCU